Long non-coding RNA from Myxocyprinus asiaticus (Chinese sucker), 2971 nucleotides. RefSeq lists it as uncharacterized. NCBI's taxonomy places the organism in Eukaryota, Metazoa, Chordata, Actinopteri, Cypriniformes, Catostomidae. The record is from RefSeq and is a predicted model, not a curated record. The transcript is spliced from 3 exons.
UUUACACUUGUUUUUUGAACUAACAUAUUUAAUAUAUUUUUUAUAAAAAAUAAAAUAUAAUUUUUAUACAUAUAUUAUUAUAUUUAUCUUAUAUUUUUAUUAUAUUAUGCAAUAGUAAAACAUUUCUUUCCUAAUUUCUUCAUGUUCACAUAUUUUAAUUGUGGGAGAUUUUAACAUUCAUGUUUGUUGUCCUGAAAAACCUUUGGUAUCACAGUUUUUAGAUUUAGAUUCUCUUAAUUUCACUCAGUUUGUCACGGGCACUACUCAUGAGCAGGGUCACAUGUUGGAUCUGGUUUUAUCUUUAGCUCCUCAAAUUUGUAAUGUUGAAAUUGGUGAUUACUGUUUGUCUGAUCAUAUGCCUGUGAUUUUUAAUGUCACUUUGAAUUGUGGAUCAUCGAGCUCUCAGUCUUCUGCUUAUUGAUCUAGAUUGAUCACUUCAUCUGCAUCGACGGCUUUUACAGAUGCUUUUUUAGUCUCCUCCUUUACGUCAUUUAUUGAGUAUCCCUCUUUUAAGGCAGGUCCUGAUGAGCUGGUUACUGUGUUUAACUCUGAGUGUUCAGAUAUUUUGGAUGUUAUUGCUCCGGAUAAAAACAUCAUAGUUCGAGGUCAACCGUGGUUUGAUAAUGCUACUCGUGCUGUCAGACAGGAGUGUAGAAAGGCUGAACGGAGGUGGAAAAAGAUAAAUUACAUGUUUCACAUCAAAUUACGAUGGAGAGUUUGUUGAAAUAUUAAAAGGUUGUGAAGGAUGCAAGAACAAAUAAUUUUUCUAAUAUUAUUUCUUUACUCUCUAACUCUCCCAGAGUGUUGUUCAACACCAUUAAUAGAUUACUGAACCUGGAGAGAGUUGAUUUAAACCCCUCUGUGGAUAUUUGUGAACUGUUUUUGAAACGUUUUGUUGAUAAAAUAAAGGAAAUUAAAAUAAAGGCUGAGUUUUCCUCCAGUUUAUGACACUGAUCCGGUGAUAGUGACUGUUAGUGAUGAGAUUUUUGAUCAGUUUCACCUUGUGUCUCUCUCAGAAGCAAAACAGAUUAUAUCUCAUCUGAAGUCUUCUACUUGCCCCUGUGAUGUUGUUCCUGUGCGCCUUCUCAAGGAGAUGGUAGAUAUCAUUAGCUCUAGCAUCAUGUCUAUCAUCAAUAGUAGUCUUGUUGACGUGUGAUUCCACUUUGCUUUAAGCAAGCAAUUGUUCAGCCUCUUUUGAAGAAGCCAAGUUUAGAUCCUUUGGAUCUGAAGAAUUAUCGGCUGAUCUCUAAGCUGCCAAAUCUUUCCAAGAUUUUGGAGAAAGUAGUUUUAUCCCAGCUGAAGUGUUUUUUAACUCAGAACAAUGUCUUAGACAAGUUUCAAUCUGGAUUUAGGGCUGGUCACAGUACUGAGUCAGCUCUGUUAAGGGUAGCAAAUGAUUUGUUACUAAUUGGUGACUCAGGUAGCAUGCUGCUUUAAUUUUGUUGGACCUCAGUGCGGCAUUUGAUGCUAUUGAUCAUUAAAUUCUUAUUAGUCGUCUAAGGCAUGCUGUGGGGUUACAAUGUACAGUUUUAAGAUGGUUUAUAUCUUACCUUGAAGGUAGAUCCCAUUUUGUUUUCUUUGUAUAUGCUACCCCUUGACAUGAUUUUUAAGAAAUAUUGUAUAUCUUACCACUUCUAUGCAGAUGACACUCAAAUCUAUCUCCCACUGCAGCCUGGAGUGAAUCGUACUUUUAAUUUGUUUUUGUUAUGUUUAGAAGUAGUUAAAGGUUGGCUGGGUCAAAAUCUUCUCCAGUUAAUUGUGAAGAAAACAGAGAUCAUUAUCUUUGGAUCUGAUGUAUGUGGUGGAGAUAUUACCAAUGCUUAGGUCCAUGGGCCGCUAAUCUGCAAAGCCAAGUGAAAAAUCUGAGUGUUGUUUUUGAUUCAUCACUAAAAUUUGAUAAACAGAUUAAGGCUGUUGUAAAAAGUUGUUUUUAUCAACUAAGAGCCAUCAUUCAGCAAGGGGAGGGGAGGAGGGGCUCCUAACCGACCGCCUGGAGUGGUCAGGGCCACUGCCAGGGGCGGAGGAGGGCCCUACCAGCCGCUAAAACGUGGCGGGGUUGAGAGGACCGCCGACCGCGUGUGGGGAGGUGCUCCUGGCCAAUCGCCUGGUGUGGGAGAACCGCUGCCAGGGUUGGGGGAGGACUCUUUCUGUCCACCGAAAACACGGCGGGGCAUUCUGUCCGCCAGGGGCCGGAGGACUGCCUCCGAUCUGCCCGGAGAGGCACGGCUGUUAUCCACCGAGGACCACGCGAUGGUGCAUCAGAGAACUAGUGAGUGAGGGUUUUUUUCUCUCUUUCCUCUCUCUCUAUUGCUGUCGCUCCAUGUCGGCCUUUCCCUCGCCUGUUUUUUUUUUUUUUGUUGUUGUUGUUUUUCCCCUCCUGUCUCCUCCCAGGUCAAAGAAGGCGGUGAUGAUCCGCCAGUAGGCAGGGCGCAAGGCACGCCCCCUCCGGAGGUGGGGACAUCGUGCCGGGGGCUCCCCAGCCUGAGGCAACCCAGGGAGGAGUGUAGCUUGGAAGAGGGCAGGGCCGGUCUGGAAUGGCGCACGCUGGACCCCAAUCAGCCUGAUGAGGUGAGCAAGGGAUAAAGGCGACCGCAGACGAGAGAGAGAGAACUACAGGCAGCUGCCCUGUAUGUGUUUACUGUAUGUUUGUGUGUUAUUAUUUAAGUUUAUCAUUAAACUUUAUUUAUAUUGUCAAGCCGGUUCUCACCGCCUCCUUUCUCUUUUAACCCCUUUACAGUGCGCUUUGUGUUCACUAUCCUAGUUUAUACUUUUAGUUUAUAUUUUCGCAAGCAUCUGCUGACAGCGCAUGUCACAUCGCUUCACGUGCUCUUCAGGAGCUGGUUUAUGUCCGCAGUGCGGCUCAGUGAAGCUCGGACUCAAGAGUUCAACUGAGUGACACACAAAUGCGUUCGUGGCAUUUAUACAGUAUAUUCACUUAAAAUUCCCUUAUUCCCUUAAUUUCCCUUAAAUG